Molecule: transfer RNA, 77 nt
Filed under: Burkholderia ubonensis
Lineage: Bacteria; Pseudomonadati; Pseudomonadota; Betaproteobacteria; Burkholderiales; Burkholderiaceae
Description: tRNA-Lys
Rfam family: tRNA
About the family: Transfer RNA (tRNA) molecules are approximately 80 nucleotides in length. Their secondary structure includes four short double-helical elements and three loops (D, anti-codon, and T loops).
Source: RNAcentral
GGGGGUGUAGCUCAACUGGAUAGAGCACUCGGCUCUUACCCGAUAGGUUCUGGGUUCUACUCCCAGUGCCCCCACCA